This 72-nucleotide transfer RNA is filed under the name Caldifarciminota bacterium. RNAcentral describes it as "candidate division WOR-3 bacterium (hot springs metagenome) tRNA-Met". It matches the Rfam family "tRNA". Rfam says of the family: Transfer RNA (tRNA) molecules are approximately 80 nucleotides in length. The record is from RNAcentral. Lineage: Bacteria; Pseudomonadati; Caldifarciminota. RNAcentral also lists the same sequence under 1 other name.
GUCGGGGUAGCUCAAUGGCUAGAGCGCUGCUCUCAUAAGGCAGAGAUGUGGGUUCAAUCCCCACCCCCGACA